CCCGCUCAGAAACUCAAAGGAAUUGACGGGGGCCCGCACAAGCGGUGGAGUAUGUGGUUUAAUUCGAUGCAACGCGAAGAACCUUACCUGGUCUUGACAUCCCGGAGACCCUUAGGAAACUAGGGGGUGCUUCCAUCUGGAAGAAUCUGGAGACAGGUGCUGCAUGGCUGUCGUCAGCUCGUGUCGUGAGAUGUUGGGUUAAGUCCCGCAACGAGCGCAACCCUUGCCUUUAGUUGCCAGCAGUUCGGCUGGGCACUCUAAAGGGACUGCCGGUGUUAAACCGGAGGAAGGUGGGGAUGACGUCAAGUCCUCAUGGCCUUUAUGACCAGGGCUACACACGUGCUACAAUGGCCGGCACAGCGGGAAGCGAGGCAGUGAUGCCGAGCGGAUCCCUUAAAGCCGGUCUCAGUUCGGAUUGAAGUCUGCAACUCGACUUCAUGAAGCUGGAAUCGCUAGUAAUCGCAGAUCAGCCAAGCUGCGGUGAAUACGUUCCCGGGCCUU
RNAcentral lists this ribosomal RNA (501 nucleotides) under uncultured Desulfobulbus sp. Its description in RNAcentral is "bacterial SSU rRNA". It matches the Rfam family "Bacterial small subunit ribosomal RNA", at positions 888 to 1382 of the family's 1533-position model. The record is from RNAcentral. Lineage: Bacteria; Pseudomonadati; Thermodesulfobacteriota; Desulfobulbia; Desulfobulbales; Desulfobulbaceae.